This is a long non-coding RNA of Lates calcarifer (barramundi perch), 741 nucleotides long. RefSeq lists it as uncharacterized. The record is from RefSeq and is a predicted model, not a curated record. Lineage: Eukaryota; Metazoa; Chordata; Actinopteri; Centropomidae. The transcript is spliced from 4 exons.
GUUUACUCGUUCAGCUGCUGCAGCCUGGACAGAAACACCAGCUCUCACCUUACAAACCAAACAAGUGUCACCGCUUCGUCCACAAUCAGAGAGAGUCUUUGUACAAUGAAGAAGUUCUUUGAAACCUGGACUGAGGCCUCAAGGAUUCAAACUUGAACCAUUAAAGCACAGAGAGAAGAAACAGACGUGAAGACAUUUCCAGAAGGUCUGAGCUGCUGUCGUCUCCUCCUCCUGCAGAGACAAGAACACGUGUUAAUCACAGAAACUGAUCAGUAAAUAUAAAUAUUUUUACGAUACACUAUGCCUUACCAUACUAUGACAUUUUUAUGCCUUAUUAUACUUUUGACAUUUGGCAUUGUUUGACAUUUUGCACUAUUUUUGAUGCUUUCCUAUACUAUCACAUGUGGCUUAAGAUAAAGGAACUAUCUUAAAGUAGCCAUCUUACCUGUGUUUUCCACAGAUGCACACCUCUACACUGUGUUUGUAGUUUAGGAUUUUAAUUUUGGUAUUUUGCUAAUUCAAAUAAUAACUGUACUCAAAUCCAAUCUGUUACUGGGUACAUACACUGUUUAUACUGUUCAUAUUUAUACUUUUUAUAUAUUGUUAAUAUAUUAUCUUGUUUUAUAUCUUGUCUUACUUAUAUAAUGCCCUUUUCUAUUUUUGCUGUUGCAACACUGAAUUUCCCUGCUGUGGGACUGAUAAAGGAUUAUCUUGCUCAAAUAAAUACUUCUGAACACUGAA